CCUACGGGAGGCAGCAGUGAGGAAUAUUGGUCAAUGGACGAGAGUCUGAACCAGCCAAGUAGCGUGAAGGAUGACUGCCCUAUGGGUUGUAAACUUCUGUUAUAGGGGAAUAAAACAGGGUAUGCAUACCCUCUUGUAUGUACCAUAUGAAUAAGGAUCGGCUAACUCCGUGCCAGCAGCCGCGGUAAUACGGAGGAUCCGAGCGUUAUCCGGAUUUAGUGGGUUUAAAGGGAGCGUAGGGGGCUUGUUAAGUCAGUUGUGAAAGUUUGCGGCUCACCCGGAAAAUUGCAGUUGAAACUGGCAGUCUUGAGUACAGUAGAGGUGGGCUGUAUUCGUGGUGUAUCGGUGCACUGCUUAGAUCUCACGA
Molecule: ribosomal RNA, 367 nt
Filed under: uncultured bacterium
Lineage: Bacteria
Description: partial 16S ribosomal RNA
Rfam family: Bacterial small subunit ribosomal RNA
Source: RNAcentral